AAGCAUCACCUUCCCGUCUAGCCCGCGCUCGCCGACCGCCUCUCCCACAACCCGCUCAACAACUACCCGGCUCCUGCUUCCAUGAAAAUGCAAUAUAUUUCAUAGUCACCAAAAGGCAACAAAAGUAAGAUCACCAAUUAAAUCCUAGUAUGAUGAAACAUUUAUGCCAAAAUAGAUACGAAGCAACUCAUAGAUUAAAGUUAAAUCUAGCAAUAUAGUACACGUGGCACCAGAGUAAACCCCAUAUUAAACAAUGUGGUAGAUAGUGUUUACCUGAAUGCUGACAGAGGUAUACCAAGUAACAAAGCUAGUUACAGCCAAAGCUCGAUGCCUCCAAACCAAAGUUUAACUCCUAACAGGAAAUGUCUCCAAAUCAAGCUAGCUGCGGCCAAACUUUGAAACCUGAAAAAAUGGAGGGGAAAACGAAAUCAGGAAAGGCAAGAGAAAGAAAGUCAUAUAGGAUAAAAUUAUCUCACUGCUCCAAACAUAUACAGUACUGCUAAGAAAUCUCCUUAUUAGUUCUUUUAUAGAAUUAGCCCACUGAUGAGAUAAGAUAGUAAAUAUAGUUAUUUCUUACAACAAUCUUUGGAAGAUUAGUAUUAAACAUAUACAUCGGGAAUUCACAAAAAAAAACAUAUACAUCGGGAGAAGAAGUGGUUUUUUCCAGAGAACCAACUGAACAAAGAAACUACAAUUAAUAAAGUAACACAUAGUCCGUGAUGUAAUUCGUAGCAGUACAGGUCCGCUGAUGUUACCGCACAAACACAAAUUACCUGAAGCCUGCCAAUCAAAUUGAGUACGGUACGUAUUAAAAGAACUACUAUGUGAGCUAAGGAAGCAGCAUCGAGGACGCAAGGAAAUACGAUUGUCACUUGUCAAUACAUUCCCCUAAUCUCCCGAAUUAUACACUACAUGCUCAUACACUUCUAUUUUUGCAUCCUAUAUUAUGUUUGAUAGCUCAGUUGUUCCUGAAUUACACCAAAUAGAAUAUCAAUUCUUUUGGAAAAGGUAGACAUCCAUAUAAAAGACAUGGUGUUUAAAUACUUUUAUUAAAAGCCAUAACUUAAGUUCACAGAGGCAAUAGAACAAAUUAUCUAUAGUUUCCUUGUGCUCUAGAUUGUAGGUUCAUCACAGGUGCAAGAUAAGAAAUUAAAUUGCUUUGAAGAAUAUAAAGAUAGCAAAUGAAGAAAUCAGCCGCUGCCUACCGGACUCAGGUUUGCAGCAUACAAACAUAUAUACAGACCAUGAAUGUACUAUGACUUCAGAAGAAUAUACAUUAAUCCGCCAUAUUGUAGGGAAACAAAUCUGGAGCACAAAGUAGAGAGAAACACCUGUAACACACGUGCAUGAUAUAACACUACCUGAAUGUAACAAAAUAUAAUUGUAUUUCUAAUGGAACAAAAUAGAGCUGUGAGCAUUAACACUGUAUCUGGGCAUGGUACUCAAGAUGCUUCUUUAUUUUUUGUUCUUAUUACAUCAUGUACACUUCAAAGAGAGGCGCCGACUCUACAACUUUUCAAGCAUCAAACUAUAUAAGAGUAAUUACCCGUGCAUUUUGCCACUGUUUGUUAGAAAUACAUCACAUCAGAGAUGCAGAACCCAUUUUCUCUUAGGUCAAUAACAAACAUUAAACCUUGGAGACGGGAUUAGCAAUUCCGUGGAACAUUAACUUCUCCCACUGGUUCAAUACACUCUUCAAUUUUGAUGCUUAUUUUAGCAGCAUGGUAAAUGCCAUUUGCUGCUUCAAUACACUAUAUAUGCAUGGUUAUGCAAAUCAAAAUUGAAAGAUGGACUGCUGCAGAAGUGUAGAAAACAUGCAUGGUGGUGUUGUAAGAGUGAAUACUUAUUUAUGAGAUAAAUCGGCAUAUGAGCUGAUACUGUAUAAAUUAGGAAGAAAAAAUUGAACUAUGCACCAUUGAAAGACAAAUUAUGAAGUCCACAUUUUUGCUGAGACAUAUUGCAGAUUUAUAUUAGCAUUCAACAUCUAUUCACAGAAGACAAAAAAGGUCAGUCGAUUUGCAAAGCACACAUCUGCAUGAAUAUGUCACAAGUUAUAUGUUUGUCUUAAGGUUACAGAAUGAUGAUCAAUUCUCAGGGUAAAACUAACUGUAACAUGCCUCUCAUUAUUAUUUUUGUUAGAGAAGAAGUUACAUUUGCUACGUACUAAAAUUGUUGGGGUUCCAGACCUUGGGUUAUCUGAAGUGUGGGUAAGUUGUAGAGGUUAACAGCAUGGACAUCAUUCCAAUUUUACGGCAUGGGCAAAAACAUGUCAGAAUGCAAGUAUGCAGGUCAUGUAUCCCAUUGUUUCUGCUUCUGCAAUGAAUAUGUUGAAAGGUGAGUUACCUAUUAGGGAGAGACUCAGCUCAAUGUCCGCAGCUGAAAUCAGUGUAUCCUCUUUCUGUCAACCUUCUGUAUCUUUGAAAUCUUCAAGCUCAUGUCAUGGUAUUUGCUUCAAGGACAACAAACAAAUCAGGUAUGUGAUCCAACAAGAGAAAGGCAAUUUAACAAAUCCAUUCAGAAAUUGAGAGGUUGAUAGCAUUUUACUUAUGUGAUGACUACCUCGACCAAAAUCCAUAUAUCUUGGAAGAUGCAGGGCACCAAUCAGAACCAUAUUAAAGCAGUAGACAGAGAGGUCCGCGAAGAAGAAAUAAAUGCAAGAACAGAAAAAGGGAAAAGGAAAAGGAAAGUGAAGUGUAUUACUGUAUUGAUGCCACGACGAACAUACGACCUCGACCCCUUAUCACCUACAGUGCAACACGGAGGAAUGAAGAAACAAUUUGUAGUCCCAAGACUGAUGCUGGAUUCUACAUUGUUGAAUCUUUAGAUGCAUUGGUAAGUGGAUAUAUAAUGAAACUGCAACAAUACAAAGCUAAAUAGAUUCUUAUAAAAGGAUUAAAUAAUCAACUAAAGGAAUGUCUAAAGAUGAAAAUUAUUUGCAUCAGACCCAUCGGAAGUAGCUUUUGCCAUGUAGUUUAUGAGCUAAAGCUGAGCAUUUACUAAUCGAUAAAAGCAUCAAGCAUCAUCAGCUAUAAAACAAACUACAUUUUCUAAUAAGAUGGCACAGGCAUGAAAUGCCGAAGAAGCAGUCAUGAGAAAUCUGGACCUUCCUCGAGUUGCCUUUGUGUAAAUAGGAGGCAUUUUUGUCUAUGUAACCCUGAGAGCACAGAACCAAGCAUGAGAAAUCUGAACCUUCCUCGAGUUUCCUUUGUGUAAACAGGAAAAUUGAAAUCCUUUGCCACACAUCUGAACCUUCCAAGAAGCUGCUAUCAGGGUUACACAAAGGCAACAAAAACUACUCUGAAAAUUUCAUUGAUAGCUAGAGAUCU
RNAcentral lists this long non-coding RNA (3326 nucleotides) under Triticum aestivum (bread wheat). Its description in RNAcentral is "long non-coding RNA (TAES_LNC009458)". Lineage: Eukaryota; Viridiplantae; Streptophyta; Magnoliopsida; Poales; Poaceae. The record is from RNAcentral.